GUCAGAGGAAAGGGGCAAGGGGGCGCCACCGCGGCAGAGGACGGCGCGGGAGUCGCCGCAGUUGGCCACGACGAUGCGGGUGGGCCCCACGACGGCGACGACGGCGGUGGAGCCCACGUUGUCGCACCUCGGUGCGUGGAGCUCGCAGCGGCAACAGAGGGUUGGCCGGCCUCCUUGUUGCAGCGCCUCCGCCGCCGCCGAGUCCAUCCGCAAGAAGCUCCGCUCCAUCAGCCCCGUCCAAGCCCCCGGAGUCGGUGGAACAGAUCCGAGCCUCGACAUCUCAUCCGCCACGAACUCGUGCAUCCGACCACUGCAUAACGCCGCCAC
Molecule: long non-coding RNA, 327 nt
Filed under: Musa acuminata (dwarf banana)
Lineage: Eukaryota; Viridiplantae; Streptophyta; Magnoliopsida; Zingiberales; Musaceae
Description: long non-coding RNA (MACU_LNC003184)
Source: RNAcentral